RNAcentral lists this microRNA (19 nucleotides) under Tribolium castaneum (red flour beetle). RNAcentral's name for it is "tca-miR-3874-3p". The record is from miRBase by way of RNAcentral. Lineage: Eukaryota; Metazoa; Arthropoda; Insecta; Coleoptera; Tenebrionidae.
CGCCUCAUUGACGACUUAU